This is a long non-coding RNA of Cannabis sativa, 930 nucleotides long. RefSeq lists it as uncharacterized. The transcript has 3 exons. NCBI's taxonomy places the organism in Eukaryota, Viridiplantae, Streptophyta, Magnoliopsida, Rosales, Cannabaceae. The record is from RefSeq and is a predicted model, not a curated record.
UGGUUUGAAAAAUGUCAACCCGUUCAGUUUUGGGUCGGAAAUGGGUUGGGCAGUUUAUGGGCCAAUGAACCCAACCCAACUCGAAUUUUUGAAAAAAAAAAAUCAUAGUAUUAAUUUUAUGGGCUUUAGACAAUUUGAAUUGGGCUUUUACUUUUCUCACAUAUAUAUUGAUAUAUAUUAUCUAACCCUAACCCUAAAAACAUAACACAACAUAAAAUACAUUCCCCUCAUCACCAUCCGCCUCCUACUUUCUCUUUCUCUCAACUCACUGCCCUCUCUCUCUCUCUCUCUCUCUCUCUCUCUCUCUCUCUCUCUCUCUCUCUCUCAGAGAAUGUUUGGAUCCGCCUCCUUCUCCGAUGCACGCACACGGCACAGAUAAGAGUCCACUCUCCUCCCAUUCCGUUCUCGCCGGAGUGUUUAAGCAAGGGUUGUCGCACACCACGCUACUUCGGCUCUCACUUUUCAUUGUCAGGUAACACACCAAAGGUCAAAGCAUCACCAAGGAGAAGAUUAUUGACAUUAUUAAUUGAUGUAUUUUUCAAGUUGAUCAUAUUUUGGACAAUUUAAUUAACUUUAGUCUUUAUUUUGAUUUGGAUGACUGUAAUAAUUGAUUUUUAACCUUUGAACUUUUGAUGAACUAUUGAAUUUUACAUUUAAUCAUGGAAAUUUAGCUCAAAAUUUUAAGUUUUAAUUAUAAAAAAUUAAGGGUUUUAACCCAACCCAACCCAAACCGAUUAAAAAUGGGUUGGGUUGGGUUGGUUUGUAAAUAAAUCUUAAUAUGAAUGGGUUAGAAUUUAAUAGGCCGAUCUCAUUGGGUUGGCCCACUAAAAUACCUUCAACCUGGCCAACCCAACCCAUGCACAGCCCUACUAGUAACAACUAAAUUAUAGCAUUCUACUUCAUAACCUUCAUAGGAUCCAUAUUCUUUAC